GCAUUUGACCGCUCCUCCCUCCGCGUUGGAGGCGGAAUAGUGGGUUUUGCUGCAACCGGUUUAUUUUCCUUCUGUUUUCACCCAUUCUGGCACAAUCUGGCGCCAUCGUCCUUCUUGUGAGGCCAAGCCUGAAAAUGCGAAGCAGAGAGGCAGGACCAAAAUUGAGGCGAAUCCAGGAACCUGCCAAUGGGUCUCCGGGUGCGGUCUCUGAAACUGGAGGAUAUCGGGAGGAAAGGGUAUGGAAGAGGGAUAAAACACGGUGCCUUAGGUGUGUUGAAGACAGAGUCGGGCCAAAAAUAUAUGAUUUACUGAGAUGCGUGUCGUGUUCUUGCGCUUUAUCUUGUAGCUCUCCGAUGCGGAGAUAAUGGGGAAGCUCUUGGCAUGGUUGGCUGUAGGUAUGUGAUACCGGAGGAGCAGGAGUCAAAUAGGAUACGCCGACUUUUAAUUCAAGGAACCCUUUUCUGAAACACUUUGCCACAAUGAAGGAAAUAAGAUUACAGCCGAAGAUACAUAUUAAGGAAUUGUACUCUCAGAGAUGUUGAGAAAAGAUACAUGGGUCUUGGAAGAUAAUUACUCAAAAUAUGCAGGGAAGGUAGUAUAUCUUUCUAUUUUAAAUGUAUUAAGUAUUCCUGGAACUAUAGCAGUGAGUUGGAAAUGGAGGAUUGUCCAAGUAAAAAACAUUUAUUAAGGCUUUAAUGAAAUCUACCUAUUUUAUGGUAUAUAAUCUCAUUAAUUGUCCACUUGGAAAGAAUAAUAACAGAUAUUUAUUUAUUGGCCAGUUACUAUGGGCCACAAAUUAUGCUGAGCUUUUUUUAAUUUCAUUUCAUUUUAUUUUAUUUUUUGAGAUGGGGUCUCACUCUGUCACCCAGGCUGGAGUGCAGUGGCGCAAUCUCAGCUUAUUGCAACCUCUGUCUUCCAGGCCCAAGCAAUCUUCCCACCUCAGCUUCCUAAGUAGCUGGGACCACAUGCAUGUACCACUACACCUGGCUAAUUUUUUUUUGUAUAUUUGGUAGAGACAGGGUUUUACCAUGUUGCCCAGGCUGCUAAGCUUUUUAUAUACAGUAUAUAGAAAGAGUUGGUUUUCUUAAACAAUAUUUAUUUCUCAUAAUAACUCUAUGAAAGCAGGUAUAGACUUCUUGCUUUCUAGGGUUGGUAUCUUGCUUGUUGAGGACCUACCCUUUUGUGUUGCCGAAUUUUUCAUUGUUUGAGUUCUGUCUUUUGUUUCAGAAAGCCAUGGAGUUUUGAAAUUAUUGUUAUAUCAUUAUUUGUUACAUAAUUAUUUCUACUUCUAGAAUCUCAUGCUAACUUGGAAGUGUCUUCUCAGCAUCAAGCCUGAUAUGGAGGGGCAGCUACACCCUAAUACGCUCCAAAACUAGUUAUGCUUUGUUUUAUACGUAAUGCUUCUGUUAUUAGACAAGUGGUUUCCAAAUAUCAGAAGCAGUGCUAGGACUUAAAGGAAAAGGGGGAGUGUUUUUUCUUCUAAUAGAACUUUUGAGCAGUGAUGAAAGGAAAACAAGAAGACUCAAAAGAUUAUAAAUCUCAGGCACGAAUUAGUGUUCUGCCAAUUAGGAACAUUCUGAUUGCUUGACAAGGUCUAUAUUUUGCUGAUGAGGAGUAGAAGCCUGUGGGAGGUGGGGGUGGAAGCAGCAGAAGGAAAAGAGUAGCAAGUAUUUAGUAAAAUGUAUUCAUCAUAGUGGAUAAAAAUCAAGCUUUGGGGAAAAAGGUCAAACUCCUUCAAUGAUGCUGUACAUCUGUACCUUUACUCCAUCCUAUAGCAAAUAUUUGUAUAACUGCACAGAAGAAAUUGGACAAUAUUCCUUGAAAAAUUCUUAGAAAGUUCAACUUUCCAAGUUAGUAUCACCCCAAGGAAAAUUAUAUGAGUAGGAAUACCUAAUUUCUAGCCAUACUCUAGUUCCAAUUAGCUUCUCUAAGUAGCUGGAACUGCAGGCGUGUGCCACCACACCUGGCUAAUUUUUUGUAUUUUUGGUAGAGAAGGGGUUUUGCCGUGUUGCCCAGGCUGCUAAGAUUUUUAUAUAUAGUGUAUAGAAAGAGUUGGUUUUCUUGGCCAGGCAUGGUGGCUCGCACCUGUAAUCCCAGCACUUUGAAAGGCUAAGGCAGGUGAAUCACCUGAGCUCAGGAGUUCAAGACCAGCCUGGCCAACAUGGCGAAACUCCGUCUCUACUAAAAAUACAAAAAUUAGCCGGGCAUGGUGGCACGCACCUGUAACCCCAGCUACUUGGGAGGCCAAGGCAGGAGAACCACUUGAACCCAGGAGGUGGAGGUUGCAGUGGGCCAAGAUUGGCCACUGCACUCCAGCCUGGGUGACAGAGCAAGACUCUGUCUCAAAAAAGAAAGAGUUGGUUCUGUUAAACAAUAUUUAUUUCUCAUAAUAACCCUAUGAAAGCAGAUACAGACUUCUGGCUUUUUAGGAUUGGUAUUUCACUUGUUGAACACCUACCCUUGUGUCAGAUGUAUAGCAGGUUAACAAAGUCAAUACAGUGAUACACUUGACAUAAUCUUUGUUCUGAGUUUUUUUCCCAAUUAUAGUAAAAUUGGAGGUCUUAACUGUUCUACAUUAGAUAAAUAUAUGCAUUUGUUUUAAAGAGCUAAGCAAUGAGAAUCUUACAACUAGAGCUGAAGUUCAAGAAAUAAAUGUCCAAUGAUUAAAUUUUUUCCACUGCUGUUCACAUCAUGAUUUGUUGUGAUUAAUGUAUGUGGAUGAGGACAUAAUAGAAAAAGAAAAUGAUGAGACUUGUAUAUAUUGUGUUUCUGCACAAUGAGUUCCUUUGAAUGUUUUUCGUUUUAGGAAUAAAAUUGAAGGGUGUUUUUCUUAGAGAACAUCAUUUGUCAUAUUUAUUUGAUCAAGAAGUUGAAGAUUUAUAUAAUAAGGAUCUAGUUUGAAGCACUAAGAAGAAUAAGACAUCAGUUUGAAAAGAGGCUCUAUCAGAACAACACGAAUUCUGCUAAAAUUGAAGCAAGAACAAACAUCAAAUAUAUGUUGACACUUGGGUGGAAGAAUGGUGAACUAAUUGAUGCUUUAUGAAAAGUUGAUAGGGACAGUGCUCCAAAGAAAUCAGUUUACAAAUGGAUAACUCGUUUUAAGAAGGCAUAAGGUAAUGUUGAAGAAGAAGCCCACAGUGGCAGAUCAUCCACAUCAGUUUGUGAGAAAAAAGUUAGUUCAUGGCGUAAUUGAAGAAAACCAACAAUUAACAGCAGAAACAACAGCCAACACCAUAGACAUCUCAGUUGGUUCACCUUACACAAUUUUGACUGGAAAAGUUCAGCAAACUUUAUACCUGAUAGGUACCAAAACCAUUGCACCCAGAUCAGCUACAGACAAGAAUAGAGCUUUCAAUGGAAAUUUUAAAUAAGUGGGAUCAGGAUCUUGAAGCCUUUCAUUGAAAAAUUGUAACAGGAGAUGAAACAUGGCUUUACCAGCGCAAUCCUGAAGACAAAACACAAAGCAGUGGUUACCAAGAUAAGUAGUUCAGUUAAAGCACAAGAGGACUGGUUGAGAGCAAAGGUCAUGGCAACAGCUUUUGAAUGCUCAAGGCAUUUUGCUUGUUGACUUUCUGUAGGGCCAAAGAAUGGUAACGUGCUUAUCAUGGGAGUGUUUUGAGAAACUUAGCCAAAGCUUCAGCAGAAAAAUCCCCGAGAAAGACCAGAGAGUUCUUCACCACAACAAUGUUCCUGCUCAUCCCUCUCAUCAAACAAGGCCAUUUUGCAAGAGUUUUGAUGGGAAAU
RNAcentral lists this long non-coding RNA (3744 nucleotides) under Homo sapiens (human). Its description in RNAcentral is "non-protein coding THAP9-AS1:30". The record is from RNAcentral. Lineage: Eukaryota; Metazoa; Chordata; Mammalia; Primates; Hominidae.